GACGAACGCUGGCGGCGUGCUUAACACAUGCAAGUCGAGCGGAGCGGCGAACGGGUGAGUAACGCGUGAGUAACUGCCCCCCUCUCUGGGAUAACAGUUGGAAACGGCUGCUAAUAACGGAUAGUGGGGGAUGCCGCGCGUCCUAUGAGAUUGUUGGUGGGGUAGUGGCAUACCAAGGCGACGACGGGUAGCAGGCCUGAGAGGGCAACCGGCACCCUUGGGCGUAGAUAUGGCCCAAACUCCGGCUGGAGGCAGCAGUGGGGAAUAUUGCACAAUGGGGUAAACCCUGAGUCAGCAACGCCGCUUGCGGGAUGACGGCCUUCGGGUUGUAAACCGCUUUCAGCCAUGACGCGGCAGUGGCAGAAGAAGCACCGGCUAACUACGUGCCAGCAGCCGCGGUAAUAC
RNAcentral lists this ribosomal RNA (405 nucleotides) under uncultured bacterium. RNAcentral describes it as "partial 16S ribosomal RNA". It matches the Rfam family "Bacterial small subunit ribosomal RNA", at positions 28 to 526 of the family's 1533-position model. The record is from RNAcentral.